CGGGACACGUGGUAUCCUGUCUGAAUAUGGGGGGACCAUCCUCCAAGGCUAAAUACUCCUGACUGACCGAUAGUGAACCAGUACCGUGAGGGAAAGGCGAAAAGAACCCCGGCGAGGGGAGUGAAAAAGAACCUGAAACCGUGUACGUACAAGCAGUGGGAGCCUCUUUAUGGGGUGACUGCGUACCUUUUGUAUAAUGGGUCAGCGACUUAUAUUCUGUAGCAAGGUUAACCGAAUAGGGGAGCCGAAGGGAAACCGAGUCUUAACUGGGCGUUAAGUUGCAGGGUAUAGACCCGAAACCCGGUGAUCUAGCCAUGGGCAGGUUGAAGGUUGGGUAACACUAACUGGAGGACCGAACCGACUAAUGUUGAAAAAUUAGCGGAUGACUUGUGGCUGGGGGUGAAAGGCCAAUCAAACCGGGAGAUAGCUGGUUCUCCCCGAAAGCUAUUUAGGUAGCGCCUCGUGAAUUCAUCUCCGGGGGUAGAGCACUGUUUCGGCAAGGGGGUCAUCCCGACUUACCAACCCGAUGCAAACUGCGAAUACCGGAGAAUGUUAUCACGGGAGACACACGGCGGGUGCUAACGUCCGUCGUGAAGAGGGAAACAACCCAGACCGCCAGCUAAGGUCCCAAAGUCAUGGUUAAGUGGGAAACGAUGUGGGAAGGCCCAGACAGCCAGGAUGUUGGCUUAGAAGCAGCCAUCAUUUAAAGAAAGCGUAAUAGCUCACUGGUCGAGUCGGCCUGCGCGGAAGAUGUAACGGGGCUAAACCAUGCACCGAAGCUGCGGCAGCGACGCUUAUGCGUUGUUGGGUAGGGGAGCGU
This 820-nucleotide ribosomal RNA is filed under the name Escherichia coli. RNAcentral's name for it is "partial 23S ribosomal RNA". It matches the Rfam family "Bacterial large subunit ribosomal RNA", at positions 418 to 1239 of the family's 2925-position model. The record is from RNAcentral. Lineage: Bacteria; Pseudomonadati; Pseudomonadota; Gammaproteobacteria; Enterobacterales; Enterobacteriaceae.